This 496-nucleotide ribosomal RNA is filed under the name uncultured bacterium. Its description in RNAcentral is "partial 16S ribosomal RNA". It matches the Rfam family "Bacterial small subunit ribosomal RNA", at positions 29 to 507 of the family's 1533-position model. The record is from RNAcentral.
AUGAACGCUGGCGGCGUGCCUAAUACAUGCAAGUCGAGCGAACAGACGAGGAGCUUGCUCCUCUGACGUUAGCGGCGGACGGGUGAGUAACACGUGGAUAACCUACCUAUAAGACUGGGAUAACUUCGGGAAACCGGAGCUAAUACCGGAUAAUAUAUUGAACCGCAUGGUUCAAUAGUGAAAGACGGUUUUGCUGUCACUUAUAGAUGGAUCCGCGCCGCAAUAGCUAGUUGGUAAGGUAACGGCUUACCAAGGCAACGAUGCGUAGCCGACCUGAGAGGGUGAUCGGCCACACUGGAACUGAGACACGGUCCAGACUCCUACGGGAGGCAGCAGUAGGGAAUCUUCCGCAAUGGGCGAAAGCCUGACGGAGCAACGCCGCGUGAGUGAUGAAGGUCUUCGGAUCGUAAAACUCUGUUAUUAGGGAAGAACAAAUGUGUAAGUAACUAUGCACGUCUUGACGGUACCUAAUCAGAAAGCCACGGCUAACUACGUG